RNAcentral lists this ribosomal RNA (483 nucleotides) under uncultured bacterium. Its description in RNAcentral is "partial 16S ribosomal RNA". It matches the Rfam family "Bacterial small subunit ribosomal RNA", at positions 30 to 506 of the family's 1533-position model. The record is from RNAcentral.
AUUGAACGCUGGCGGCAGGCCUAACACAUGCAAGUCGAGCGGAUGAAGGGAGCUUGCUCCUGGAUUCAGCGGCGGACGGGUGAGUAAUGCCUAGGAAUCUGCCUGGUAGUGGGGGAUAACGUCCGGAAACGGGCGCUAAUACCGCAUACGUCCUGAGGGAGAAAGUGGGGGAUCUUCGGACCUCACGCUAUCAGAUGAGCCUAGGUCGGAUUAGCUAGUUGGUGGGGUAAAGGCCUACCAAGGCGACGAUCCGUAACUGGUCUGAGAGGAUGAUCAGUCACAUUGGAACUGAGACACGGUCCAGACUCCGACGGGAGGCAGCAGUGGGGAAUAUUGGACAAUGGGCGAAAGCCUGAUCCAGCCAUGCCGCGUGUGUGAAGAAGGUCUUCGGAUUGUAAAGCACUUUAAGUUGGGAGGAAGGGCAGUAAGUUAAUACCUUGCUGUUUUGACGUUACCAACAGAAUAAGCACCGGCUAACUUCGU